Molecule: ribosomal RNA, 253 nt
Filed under: uncultured bacterium
Lineage: Bacteria
Description: partial 16S ribosomal RNA
Rfam family: Bacterial small subunit ribosomal RNA
Source: RNAcentral
UACAGAGGGUGCGAGCGUUAAUCGGAAUUACUGGGCGUAAAGCGCGCGUAGGCGGCUUUGCAAGCCGGAUGUGAAAUCCCCGGGCUUAACCUGGGAACUGCAUUCGGGACUGCAUUGCUAGAGUAUGGGAGAGGGAAGUGGAAUUUCAGGUGUAGCGGUGAAAUGCGUAGAUAUCUGUAGGAACAUCAGUGGCGAAAGCGACUUCCUGGACCAAUACUGACGCUCAUGUGCGAAAGCGUGGGGAGCAAACAGG